AGCAGUCGCCACGGUAAUACGUAGGGUGCGAGCGUUAAUCGGAAUUACUGGGCGUAAAGCGUGCGCAGGCGGCUAUAUAAGACAGAUGUGAAAUCCCCGGGCUCAACCUGGGACCUGCAUUUGUGACUGUAUAGCUAGAGUACGGUAGAGGGGGAUGGAAUUCCGCGUGUAGCAGUGAAAUGCGUAGAUAUGCGGAGGAAUACCGAUGGCGAAGGCAGCCCCCUGGGAUAACACUGAUGCUCAUGCACGAAAGCGUGAGGAGCAAACAGGAUUAGAUACCCCCGUAGUCCCUGUCUCUUAUAC
RNAcentral lists this ribosomal RNA (303 nucleotides) under uncultured bacterium. Its description in RNAcentral is "partial 16S ribosomal RNA". It matches the Rfam family "Bacterial small subunit ribosomal RNA", at positions 507 to 807 of the family's 1533-position model. The record is from RNAcentral.